GAGUUUGAUCGUGGCUCAGGACGAACGCUGGCGGCGUGCUUAACACAUGCAAGUCGAGCGGGGUCCAUCCUUUCGCAAGAAAGGUGAAGACCUAGCGGCGAACGGGUGAGUAACACGUGAGGAACCUGCCCCGAAGACUGGGAUAACACCGGGAAACCGGUGCUAAUACCGGAUGCCCUCAGAGAGUCGCAUGGCUCAUUGAGGAAAUGGAUUCCGCUUCGGGAGGGCCUCGCGGCCUAUCAGCUUGUUGGUGGGGUAACGGCCUACCAAGGCUCCGACGGGUAGCUGGUCUGAGAGGACGACCAGCCACACUGGGACUGAGACACGGCCCAGACUCCUACGGGAGGCAGCAGUGGGGAAUCUUGCGCAAUGGGCGAAAGCCUGACGCAGCAACGCCGCGUGGGGGACGAAGGCC
Molecule: ribosomal RNA, 415 nt
Filed under: uncultured Actinomycetes bacterium
Lineage: Bacteria; Bacillati; Actinomycetota; Actinomycetes
Description: bacterial SSU rRNA
Rfam family: Bacterial small subunit ribosomal RNA
Source: RNAcentral